This 551-nucleotide long non-coding RNA is filed under the name Carassius auratus (goldfish). RNAcentral's name for it is "lncRNA (ENSCARG00000041645.1)". Lineage: Eukaryota; Metazoa; Chordata; Actinopteri; Cypriniformes; Cyprinidae. The record is from RNAcentral.
CUGCGAUUGACUAAAUAUGUCUCUGUCGCUUUAAUAGGCGAAUUUUACUCCCGAUCCGCCUCUUCCAUUUAAGGGCACGUUUACUUUUCUCGGCCGAGAAUUAAGUGUUCCUGGUUUCAUAGUAGUCUACCUUCCCCUUUAAAUGGAUUCUGGACCAAUGCAAAAGUUGUGGUCAUAGGAUCAAAACAACGAACACGAUUUUUUGAGGAAGGUUCAGCUAGGAGCAAAUCCUUGUGAUUUCGCAGCGUUUGAGCCCAUCAGUAAACUUGGAAGCACUCUGUGGAGCUGCUCUGACUCGUCUGCCGGUGUUAAAGCAGGAUAAGCGGCUGUGGAAUGGCAUUGCUGACCUUGCACAGAACCCCAUCUGUUUCCACGACACCGGUAUUGGACAAUGCCAAGUAAUCGUUCUCUGUCUCUGUUGGUUGAUUGGUAGGCUUUGUAUUUAUUAUAUAACACAAGAUUCUUUUUUCACCCAUGCAAACUGUGUAUCUUCUAUAAAACACCAUGUUCAGACUAUUUUGAGUAAAGUCUCACUAGAGCUUUAACCUAAA